This 254-nucleotide ribosomal RNA is filed under the name uncultured bacterium. Its description in RNAcentral is "partial 16S ribosomal RNA". It matches the Rfam family "Bacterial small subunit ribosomal RNA", at positions 524 to 776 of the family's 1533-position model. The record is from RNAcentral.
UACAGAGGGGGCAAGCGUUGUUCGGAAUUACUGGGCGUAAAGGGCGCGUAGGCGGCCUUCUAAGUCGAACGUGAAAUCCCCGGGCUCAACCCGGGAACUGCGUCCGAGACUGAAAGGCUUGAAUCCGGGAGAGGGAUGUGGAAUUCCAGGUGUAGCGGUGAAAUGCGUAGAUAUCUGGAGGAACACCUGAGGUGAAGACGGGUUGCUGGGCUGACACUGACGCUGAGUGCGCGAAAGCCAGGGGAGCAAACGGG